This 454-nucleotide ribosomal RNA is filed under the name uncultured bacterium. Its description in RNAcentral is "bacterial SSU rRNA". It matches the Rfam family "Bacterial small subunit ribosomal RNA", at positions 340 to 786 of the family's 1533-position model. The record is from RNAcentral.
UACGGAAGGCAGCAGUGGGGAAUAUUGCACAAUGGGCGCAAGCCUGAUGCAGCCAUGCCGCGUGUAUGAAAAAGGCCUUCGGGUUGUAAAGUACUUUCAGUCGUGAGGAAGGUGUUAAGGUUAAUAACCUUAGCAAUUGACGUUAGCGACAGAAGAAGCACCGGCUAACUCCGUGCCAGCAGCCGCGGUAAUACGGAGGGUGCGAGCGUUAAUCGGAAUUACUGGGCGUAAAGGGCACGCAGGCGGUUAAUUAAGUUGGAUGUGAAAUCCCCGGGCUUAACCUGGGAAUGGCAUUCAAGACUGGUUAGCUAGAGUCUUGUAGAGGGGGUAGAAUUCCAUGUGUAGCGGUGAAAUGCGUAGAGAUGUGGAGGAAUACCGGUGGCGAAGGCGGCCCCGUGGACAAAGACUGACGCUCAUGUGCGAAAGCGUGGGGAGCAAACAGGGAUUAGAUACC